This 647-nucleotide ribosomal RNA is filed under the name uncultured bacterium. Its description in RNAcentral is "bacterial SSU rRNA". It matches the Rfam family "Bacterial small subunit ribosomal RNA", at positions 839 to 1490 of the family's 1533-position model. The record is from RNAcentral.
CUUAGUAACGAAGCUAACACGUGAAGUUGACCGCCUGGGGAGUACGGUCGCAAGAUUAAAACUCAAAGGAAUUGACGGGGACCCGCACAAGCGGUGGAUGAUGUGGAUUAAUUCGAUGCAACGCGAAAAACCUUAGCUACCCUUGACAUGUCCGGAAUCCUGCAGAGAUGCGGGAGUGCCCGAAAGGGAAUCGGAACACAGGUGCUGCAUGGCUGUCGUCAGCUCGUGUCGUGAGAUGUUGGGUUAAGUCCCGCAACGAGCGCAACCCUUAUCAUUAGUUGCUACGCAAGGGCACUCUAAUGAGACUGCCGGUGACAAACCGGAGGAAGGUGGGGAUGACGUCAAGUCCUCAUGGCCCUUAUGGGUAGGGCUUCACACGUCAUACAAUGGUCGGUACAGAGGGUUGCCAAGCCGCGAGGUGGAGCCAAUCCCAGAAAGCCGAUCGUAGUCCGGAUUGUUCUCUGCAACUCGAGAGCAUGAAGUCGGAAUCGCUAGUAAUCGCGGAUCAGCAUGUCGCGGUGAAUACGUUCCCGGGUCUUGUACACACCGCCCGUCACACCAUGGGAGUGGAAUCUGCCAGAAGUAGGUAGCCUAACCGCAAGGGGGGCGCUUACCACGGUGGGUUUCAUGACUGGGGUGAAGUCGUA